This is a non-coding RNA of Pelobates cultripes (western spadefoot toad), 736 nucleotides long. The record is from the annotation of a GenBank genome assembly. Lineage: Eukaryota; Metazoa; Chordata; Amphibia; Anura; Pelobatidae.
CUUCAUUUUUUCCAUGCCCCCCCUCACUCAUGUACUACAACUACUUCUUUUCAAAAUUUCAUUCUAUUUCCCUUAAGCUUAUGGGUAGGACAUAUAAGAUGUUAGGGCUACGUUUUCCUCAUUCCAAAAUAGAGCUAAACAAUAGACUCUUGCCCUGUGAUUCUAUUCUAUCUCAUGAGGAUAUAUUAUAGUGUUCUGAGAGUAGUUUUAGAAAGCCGUAUAAGCUAAAGUUUAGUACACAUUGUCGGUUGAAGCCUAUAGGAUAUAACAUAAGGCACGCUCACUCUAAACUAAACAACAACUUCAAAUCUCACAAAGUUUUUAAACUUAGGCAGACAGAGAUACAUUGUAUAAGACUGCCAUAAUGUACCCCAUUUUCAGCAGGUCAUAGUCUAGCAACCUUAUGCCUGCUUUUAUGAGAUUAACCCACUUAUUAGUGAAAUCCUCCCCCCUGAGACUCUCUGCAGUGCAAGGUUAAACAGAGCCUUGGAAUGAGACACCUAUGACAGGGAGGGGUGCAAAACAAUUGGAGUCCGAAUGAUGAAAUAUAUUUACAUAUGAAACCAGGAACACGAAUAAGGCUGCUCAUAGAACCAAAUGAUGCAGAAUGCAGCACAUCACUCAAAUAAACAAGAAUUGCUUGAUACCUUGGUGCUCCUGCACCAUAAUAUGAAUAAUAUGAAGUGUUGAACCUCAUUUAUAGCACACACCAAGCAGUGUAAAUCAUGACAGUAAC